UGGGGAUUAGGGUAGCGGUAGCCCGGCAGACUUUGGAUCUGCGUCAGGCCAGGUUCGAAUCCUGGAUCCCCAGCCA
Molecule: transfer RNA, 76 nt
Filed under: Bacillota bacterium
Lineage: Bacteria; Bacillati; Bacillota
Description: tRNA-Gln
Rfam family: tRNA
About the family: Transfer RNA (tRNA) molecules are approximately 80 nucleotides in length. Their secondary structure includes four short double-helical elements and three loops (D, anti-codon, and T loops). Further hydrogen bonds mediate the characteristic L-shaped molecular structure. tRNAs have two regions of fundamental functional importance: the anti-codon, which is responsible for specific mRNA codon recognition, and the 3' end, to which the tRNAs corresponding amino acid is attached (by aminoacyl-tRNA synthetases). tRNAs cope with the degeneracy of the genetic code in two manners: having more than one tRNA (with a specific anti-codon) for a particular amino acid; and 'wobble' base-pairing, i.e. permitting non-standard base-pairing at the 3rd anti-codon position.
Source: RNAcentral